Molecule: ribosomal RNA, 451 nt
Filed under: uncultured bacterium
Lineage: Bacteria
Description: bacterial SSU rRNA
Rfam family: Bacterial small subunit ribosomal RNA
Source: RNAcentral
GUCGAGAAUCUUUCGCAAUGGGGGCAACCCUGACGAAGCGACGCCGCGUGCAGGAUGAAGGUCUUCGGAUUGUAAACUGCUGUCUUUGGGGAGCAACCGGCGGGGUGUUAACAGCGCCCCGACCUGAUAGUACCCGAGGAGGAAGCCACGGCUAACUCUGUGCCAGCAGCCGCGGUAAUACAGAGGUGGCAAGCGUUGUUCGGAUUUACUGGGCGUAAAGGGUGCGUAGGCGGUUCCGUAUGUCGGGUGUGAAAGCCCACGGAUCAUCCGUGGAACGGCACUCGAAACUGCGGGGCUAGAGUGCAGGAGAGGAGGGCGGAAUUCUCGGUGUAGCGGUGAAAUGCGUUGAUAUCGAGAGGAACGCCGGUGGCGAAGGCGGCCCUCUGGACUGCCACUGACGCUGAGGCACGAAAGCUGGGGUAGCAAACAGGAUUAGAAACCCUGGUAGUCC